GGCUCAGGUACAGGGGUAAUUCUCCUGUGCACACAGUCAUUAUUUAGGCCGACUCAGUGACUUCAACAGGCUUAAUCAUGUGAUCAGGUUUGUUGCCAGCUGCAUAAUGCUCCCACAUCUGUAGAUAGAGCUGCUCUAGGUCUAUUGUGUAUUGUUUGGUGUUGAACAGAGGGCUAGAUGUUCUCUGCUUCCAGACUUUGCCACGAAUUUUCUUCAGGUAUUCUAGAUCAGUUCCCAGUUUCACAGCUAUGUCUUCAUAUUCUUGUCUAUUUUUAGCAAUAAGCUCAAGACAGCCUAAACAAGUGAGCUGGGAAGCUGCAACUCGGGAAGCAAGAGUCUCUCCUGGCAUAGUCACCAUGGGUGUCCCUGACCAAAGGACAUCCAUCCCUGUGGUGUGUCCAUUACAGAGUGGAGUGUCCAAGCAGACAUCAGCCAGCUGGCCUCUCCGAACAUGUUCCCCUUUAGGAGCAACAGGACAUUUCAUCUUGACAAUUUGCACAUCUGGGAGACUAUCAAGAAAUGCUUUGAGGUCGAUGCCAUUCAGCACAAUCCGAUUGUCAUAAAUGUGCCCAUUGGACUUAAAAUCGAUGACUGCUUUCUUCUUCAGCUGCAUGCAGUGUCUCUCAGCUGCCUCAAAAUCUCCUGCCUGAUAUUCUUGAUGUGCCAACUCAGCUAACCCUUGGAAGGAAAGCAUACGUUUCAUUGGUUCUGUGCUGUCGGCCACGUUGCCCACAGAAGACGCCAUCUGGAGCUUCUGGAGAGAGUGAGAAAAGGGGGUAAUUGAGUCCCGCUGCCGCCACUACUGGCAAGAAUGUUUCUAGAGGAAUAACUUCCAGUACUCUUACUGACUACUCUACUGACUUAACUAGCACAAGACACAGAAGCAUAAGGACAAAAACCACCUUACAAUAUUGCCAUGUCUUGCACUUCACAGCUCUCAAAGCAUGUGCGUUUGAAGAAGAUAAAAAGAACUGAAAAGUACAAAACCAGAAGCUAUUCUGUGGAAAAUUAUUUCAAUCAUCAGGCAUGUGAAAGAUAAGUCAAAGAUUCAGUUCUCAUCAAUGCUUAGUCAAAACGGAAAUUUUCUUCUGUCAAGAAUAUACUCCAGGGGCUUCCCUGAUGGCGCAGUGGUUAAGAAGCCACCUGCCAAUGCAGGGGACAAGGGUUUGAGCCCUGGUCCAGGAAGAUCCCACAUGCCACGGAGCAACUAAGCCGGUGUGCCACAACUACGGAACCUGUGCUCUAGAGCCCGUGAGCCACGACUACUGAGCCUGCGAGCCACAACUACUGAAGCCUGCGUGCCUAGCACCCGUGCUCUGCAACAAGAGAAGCCACCGCAAUGAGAAGCCUGUGCACCGCAACGAAGAGUAGCCCCCACUCCCUGCAAGUAGAGAAAGCCUGCGCACAGCAACGAAGACCCAACACAGCCAUAAAUAAAUAAAUAAAUAAAUAAAUAAAUAAAUAAAUAAAAGAAUAUACUCCAUCAACAAUG
Non-coding RNA from Globicephala melas (long-finned pilot whale), 1492 nucleotides. The record is from RefSeq and is a predicted model, not a curated record. Lineage: Eukaryota; Metazoa; Chordata; Mammalia; Artiodactyla; Delphinidae.